RNAcentral lists this ribosomal RNA (300 nucleotides) under uncultured Lactobacillus sp. Its description in RNAcentral is "partial 16S ribosomal RNA". The stretch from base 57 to 300 matches the Rfam family "Bacterial small subunit ribosomal RNA", at positions 552 to 795 of the family's 1533-position model. The record is from RNAcentral. Lineage: Bacteria; Bacillati; Bacillota; Bacilli; Lactobacillales; Lactobacillaceae.
GAGAAGUGCGGGAAGAGGGGGGGGGGAAUAAGGAUGGUGCAAGUGUAGGUCUGGAGCACGGGGCGUAAAGGGCGCGCAGGGGGGUUGGUAAGUCAGAGGGAAAAGCCCACGGCUAAACCGUGGAAGUGCAUUGGAAACGGGGAGACUAGAGUAUCAGAGGGGAAAGUGGAAUUCCCGGUGUAGAGGUGAAAUUCGUAGAUAUCGGGAGGAAUACCGGUGGCGAAGGCGACUUUCUGGCUGAAUACUGACGCUGAGGCGCGAAAGCGUGGGGAGCAAACAGGAUUAGAUACCCUGGUAGUC